UUUGCGGUCAAGUUAGCAAGGGCACACGGUGGAUGCCUUGGCGCCAGGAGGCGAUGAAGGGCGUGGCAAACUGCGAUAAGCCCCGGGUAG
RNAcentral lists this ribosomal RNA (90 nucleotides) under Candidatus Caldatribacterium californiense. Its description in RNAcentral is "partial 23S ribosomal RNA". It matches the Rfam family "Bacterial large subunit ribosomal RNA", at positions 1 to 85 of the family's 2925-position model. Lineage: Bacteria; Pseudomonadati; Atribacterota; Atribacteria; Atribacterales; Candidatus Caldatribacteriaceae. The record is from RNAcentral.